RNAcentral lists this non-coding RNA (27 nucleotides) under Rattus norvegicus (Norway rat). The record is from RNAcentral. Lineage: Eukaryota; Metazoa; Chordata; Mammalia; Rodentia; Muridae.
GAAGAGCACACACAGUCUAUCUCUAGC